This 497-nucleotide ribosomal RNA is filed under the name uncultured bacterium. RNAcentral's name for it is "partial 16S ribosomal RNA". It matches the Rfam family "Bacterial small subunit ribosomal RNA", at positions 28 to 507 of the family's 1533-position model. The record is from RNAcentral.
GAUGAACGCUGGCGGCGUGCCUAAUACAUGCAAGUCGAGCGAGCAGACGAGGAGCUUGCUCCUCUGACGUUAGCGGCGGACGGGUGAGUAACACGUGGAUAACCUACCUAUAAGACUGGGAUAACUUCGGGAAACCGGAGCUAAUACCGGAUAAUAUAUUGAACCGCAUGGUUCAAUAGUGAAAGACGGUUUUGCUGUCACUUAUAGAUGGAUCCGCGCCGCAUUAGCUAGUUGGUAAGGUAACGGCUUACCAAGGCAACGAUGCGUAGCCGACCUGAGAGGGUGAUCGGCCACACUGGAACUGAGACACGGUCCAGACGCCUACGGGAGGCAGCAGUAGGGAAUCUUCCGCAAUGGGCGAAAGCCUGACGGAGCAACGCCGCGUGAGUAAUGAAGGUCUUCGGAUCGUAAAACUCUGUUAUUAGGGAAGAACAAAUGUGUAAGUAACUAUGCACGUCUUGACGGUACCUAAUCAGAAAGCCACGGCUAACUACGUG